AGAGUUUGAUCAUGGCUCAGGACGAACGCUGGCGGCGUGCCUAAUACAUGCAAGUCGAGCGAGCUUGCCUAGAUGAAUUUGGUGCUUGCACCAAAUGAAACUAGAUACAAGCGAGCGGCGGACGGGUGAGUAACACGUGGGUAACCUGCCCAAGAGACUGGGAUAACACCUGGAAACAGAUGCUAAUACCGGAUAACAACACUAGACGCAUGUCUAGAGUUUAAAAGAUGGUUCUGCUAUCACUCUUGGAUGGACCUGCGGUGCAUUAGCUAGUUGGUAAGGUAACGGCUUACCAAGGCAAUGAUGCAUAGCCGAGUUGAGAGACUGAUCGGCCACAUUGGGACUGAGACACGGCCCAAACUCCUACGGGAGGCAGCAGUAGGGAAUCUUCCACAAUGGACGCAAGUCUGAUGGAGCAACGCCGCGUGAGUGAAGAAGGGUUUCGGCUCGUAAAGCUCUGUUGGUAGUGAAGAAAGAUAGAGGUAGUAACUGGCCUUUAUUUGACGGUAAUUACUUAGAAAGUCACGGCUAACUACGUGCCAGCAGCCGCGGUAAUACGUAGGUGGCAAGCGUUGUCCGGAUUUAUUGGGCGUAAAGCGAGUGCAGGCGGUUCAAUAAGUCUGAUGUGAAAGCCUUCGGCUCAACCGGAGAAUUGCAUCAGAAACUGUUGAACUUGAGUGCAGAAGAGGAGAGUGGAACUCCAUGUGUAGCGGUGGAAUGCGUAGAUAUAUGGAAGAACACCAGUGGCGAAGGCGGCUCUCUGGUCUGCAACCGACGCUGAGGCUCGAAAGCAUGGGUAGCGAACAGGAUUAGAUACCCUGGUAGUCCAUGCCGUAAACGAUGAGUGCUAAGUGUUGGGAGGUUUCCGCCUCUCAGUGCUGCAGCUAUCGCAUUAAGCACUCCGCCUGGGGAGUACGACCGCAAGGUUGAAACUCAAAGGAAUUGACGGGGGCCCGCACAAG
This 962-nucleotide ribosomal RNA is filed under the name Lactobacillus gasseri. RNAcentral describes it as "bacterial SSU rRNA". It matches the Rfam family "Bacterial small subunit ribosomal RNA", at positions 8 to 929 of the family's 1533-position model. The record is from RNAcentral. Lineage: Bacteria; Bacillati; Bacillota; Bacilli; Lactobacillales; Lactobacillaceae.